Molecule: non-coding RNA, 148 nt
Filed under: Homo sapiens (human)
Lineage: Eukaryota; Metazoa; Chordata; Mammalia; Primates; Hominidae
Source: Rfam by way of RNAcentral
GCUGGGCAUGGUGGCGGGUGCCUGGAAUCCCAGCUACUCAGGAGGCUGAGGCGGGAGAAUUGCUUGAACCCGGGAGGUGGAGGUUGCAGUGAGCCAAGAUCGUGCCACUGCACUCUAGCCUGGGUGACAGAGCAAGACUCCGUCUCGG